RNAcentral lists this long non-coding RNA (20589 nucleotides) under Xyrichtys novacula (pearly razorfish). Lineage: Eukaryota; Metazoa; Chordata; Actinopteri; Labriformes; Labridae. The record is from RNAcentral.
CCUAGUGUUAUUAUUAGGGCCCGAGCGUAGCUGCUAAGCAGCUGCGAGAGCCCUAUUAUUCCCCAAGUGGUUUUUUAGGGCCCGAGCGUAGCUGCUAAGCAGCUGCGAGAGCCCUCUUGUUCCUGUAGUUUCCUUCUUUUGUUAUUAUUAUUAGGGCCCGAGCCAGCUGCAGAGCAGCCGGGCGUAGGCCCUAUUAUUCCCCAAGUGGUUUUUCUUUGUUUCUUUCUUUCUUUCUUUCUUUCUUUCUUUCUUCUUUUUCCUCCCCUUUGAACUGGAAAAUGGCCCACUUCCCACUGGCGAAAACUCAUGAAAUUUGGCAGGACGACCGGGCCUGGUGAAAAAUUCGAUAUUCUGAAGUCGCCCAAACAAUAAAAUGCAAAAUGGCUCCAUAGCGCCCCCUAAGGUGGAAAUUCACACUAUUGACUGUCACGCCUGUACGCUUUGUCAUAUUGACACAAAAAUUGACACACAUAUGUAUCUCAAUAAGAUCUACAAAAAAGUCAGUGCGGCCGUAUCUGUCAAAAUUACGGUUAAAGGGUUAUUUCGCAUUUUUUGCCGAUCCGCACACAUUGGAAUUUCGCUAACUCCUCCGAAGGCUUUCGUUCCACCGGCACCACAUUUGCUCAGGCCAAUCUACACCCCGUGGCCAUUAAAAGUUAUCAAAAUCAUGACGCUGCACCCCAAGGUUUAGGUUCUAGGGGGCGCCAAAGAUAACACUAAAAUCCACAUAUUUAAAAGUCUUAUAACUUUUUAUUUUUGUCCUCACUGGCCUCCAAGUUUUCUAGGAUGAUGCAAUGUCCAGCCAUCAACACAUUUGUGAAGGAAUUUUUACUCCCCAAAAGAGCGCCCCCCCAUGGCAGGAGAAAAAAGUCCAUUUUUUCUUGUCCCCUAAGGUGAAAAUACACAUUGUUGAGUGUCACGCCUAUACGCUUUGUCAAAAUGACACAAAAAUUGACACACACAUGUAACUCAAUAAGAUCUACAAAAAAGUCAGUGCGCGCGUAUCUGUCAAAUGUACAGUUAAAGGGUUAUUCCGCAUUUUUUGCCGAUACGCACACAUUGGAAUUUCGCUAACUCCUCCGAAGGCUUUCGUUCCACCGGCACCACAUUUGCUCAGGCCAAUCUACACCCCAUGGCCAUUAAAAGUUAUUCAAAUCAUGAUGCUGCACCCCAUGGUUUAGGUUCUAGGGGGCGCCAAAAAAAACCCAAAAAUCCACAUUCUUAAAUGUUUCAUAACUUUUUAUUUUUGUCCUCACUGGCCUCCAAGUUUUCUAGGAUGAUGCAAUGUCCAGCCAUCAACACAUUUGUGAAGGAAUUUUUACUCCCCAAAAGAGCGCCCCCCAUGGUAGGAGAAAAAAGUCCAUUUUUUCUUGUCCCCUUACAUAAAAAUACACAUUGUUGAGUGUCACGCCUGAACGCUUUGUCAUAUUGACACAAAAAUUGACAAUCAUGUGUAUCUCAAUUAGAUCUACGAAAAAGUCAAAGAGCGCGUAUCUGUAUAAUGUACGGUUAAAGGGCUAUUUUGCAUUUUUUGCCGAUUCGCACACAUUGGAAUGUGGCUAUCUCCUCCUAAGGCUUUCGUCCCACCGAUACCAAAUUUGCUCAGGCCAAUCUACACCCCAUGGCCAUUCAAAGUUGUAAAAAUCAUGACGCUGCACCCCACGGUUUACGUUCUAGGGGGCGCCAAAGAUGACCCAAAAAUCCACAUUCUUAAAAGUCAUUUUGGCCACUGCAGGAGUACAGAGUACUGCAGUUCUAGGGGGCGCCAAAGAUGACCCAAAAAUCCACAUUCUUAAAAGUCUUUUUGGCCACUGCAGGAGUACAGAGUACUGCAGGAUACACACACAUAUACACACACGCCAACAUACACACACACACACACACACACACACACACACACACACACACACACACACUCAGAGUCUGUUUUUUAGCACCUGCAAAAACAUGCUGUUUACAUAUUUGACAAGAAUGCAGAGGCUUCCUUUUGCCCCUGAAAAAAAUCAAAUUUCAAACACAACUUGACUGUUCAUUUCUCCAAAAGACAACCAUGAAGCUCCAUUUCAAACCUGAAGCAGAUAGUUGGUGCAUGUGUACAGUAACCUGAGGGGAGUGAGGUGACUAUUUCUGAGGAGAACAUGAGCAGUGAAGAUUCACCUUGGAGCUAGAACAGGGACGUGCACAUGAUUAUACAGGGGCAGGGGCUCAAGUUUUUUCCAGUCAUUUAUACAAUAUGGAAAUUAAUGUGAAAUUAAACCACAAAUAUGUGUGAUGAACUGUUUUUAAAACUUAAACUUCAAAUAAAAAUUGUAAACUUCAAAACAUAUGCAAAUUUUUAACAAAGAACAUAGUAAUUUACCUCUAUUUACAUCAAAAUGCAGGCAAUGGCCCAGGCGUUCUUUGUAAAAUUAUUUACAAAACACUGUAUAGUCUCACAAAUGUCACUUUUUAUUUAUGCCACUACAAAAAAACAUGAUGUAAAUGAUGCAUGAUGUAAAACAUGAUGUAAAAAACUUGUGUAGAUCCUCCUCUAUGUCAGUCCAUGUGUAAUUUUUCCAUAAUUCUUUGUUUUUUGCAGCAUUUUUGUUAGUGUAACUGCAGAUUGUGCUGACAGUGUCUAUGGCACAAAAAAAAAAAAUUAAAAUGCCUCAACAUGAACCCCUGGUGGUCUCUGAGGGUGAAACCUGCUAACUGCUGCAGCUCUGUCAGCUUCAGUCUCCCAUGCAGAGCUCUGAGCGCAUGUGUGGCUCUGCACCCUUAGCAGCGUUGCUAACUCCUCAGUAAGGAAAGCCUGCUUCAUGUCAGAGUCUCUAAACUCCAGAAGAAGUCGAUAAAAGUCCCUUUCUUUCUAAAAAAAGUCGUUAGGGGGUCUGAAAAGUCAUUGAAUCUAACAACAAAGUCGCUAGGUUUGCAACUACGUGUCCCAGACUGCAUCCCUGCUGAGAGUCCCUCCCUCCCUUCUCAUGUUGCAGGAAGAACGUAAGCGCCCGCCCCUUGUCAAUCAGUCACCAUAUAAUUUUGGAUUGGUUGUUGUGGUGAAGUUUUCCACCAAUAGGAGAGAUGUUGUGGUGUGUUUUUUUUUUCUUUUGGCAAGCCUUUUCCGCCUGUAAGACCUGUCGCUAAUGUCUGCAUGCUAUGUUUUCCUGUCUCAUACAGCGCGAUCGAGCGCCGAACGUGAUCAAAAUAAGCAGAAAACAAGUAUCGCGGACAUAAUUUAUCAUAACUCUGGUUUUAUUUGGCCUAUCAACACAAUUUAAAAACUGGUAUAUAGGUUGAGGUCCUCACUUUUGAGAUAAGUUGAAACGGAGAGUCAACGAGGCUCCGUCUUGCAGCUACAUCCGGUUAAAUAUGUCAUGUGACUUGAACGCACACAUAGACACACACACACGCACACACACACACACACACACACACACACACACACACACACACACUCAGAGUCUGGUUUUUAGCACCUGCAAAAACAUGCUAUUUACAUAUUUGACAAGAAUGCAGAGGCUCCUUUUGCCCCUGAAAAAAAUCAAAUUUCAAACACAACUUGACUGGUCAUUUCUCCAAAAGACAACCAUGAAGCUCCAUCCAAACCUGAAGCAGGCACUUGGUGCAUGUGUACAGUAACCUGAGGGGAGUGAGGUGAGUGCUUCUGAGGAGAACAUGAGCAGUGAAGAUUCACCUUGGAGCUAGAACAGAGACAUGCACAUGAUUAUACAGGGGCAGGGGCUCAAGUUUUUUCCAGUCGUUUAUACAAUAUGGAAAUUAAUGUGAAAUUAAAACACAAAGUAUUAAUAGAAAGGUAAUGACUGUCCUGUGUAGGUGACAGUGAUAUCCAAUAGGCUAGGCACUCACGAGGCUGGCUGUGGCAAGUGUAAGUGAAAGCAACACGCACUGGCAGGAAGAACAGCAAACGCCGAUGAAGGAAAAGGGUCUUUGCAGUGAUGGGCGUUAACAGAGAAGGCGAUGGCCAGAGGACACAAAUGGGACGGGGAGGCAGCACGUUGGGGGGGGGGGGGGGGGGACGCGACACGGCUCGGGCCCGCCAGUGCCCCAACGGGGUCCUAGUUAUUAUUUUUCCUCCCCUUUGAACUGGAAAAUGGCCCACUUCCCACUGGCGAAAACUCAUGAAAUUUGGCAGGACGACCGGGCCUGGUGAAAAAUUUGAUAUUCCGAAGUCGCCCAAACAAGAAAAUGCAAAAUGGCUCCAUAGCGCCCCCUAAGGUGAAAAUUCACACUAUUGACUGUCACGCCUGUACGCUUUGUCAAAAUGACACAAAAAUUGACACACACAUGUAUCUCAAUAAGAUCUACAAAAAAGACAGUGCGGGCGUAUCUGUCAAAUGUACGGUUAAAGGGUUAAUUCGCAUUUUUUGCCAAUCCGCACACAUUGGAAUUUCGCUAACUCCUCCGAAGGCUUUCGUUCCACCGGCACCACAUUUGCUCAGGCCAAUCUACACCCCAUGGCCAUUAAAAGUUAUUCAAAUCAUGACGCUGCACCCCACGGUUUAGGUUCUAGGGGGCGCCAAAGAUAACCCUAAGAUCCACAUAUUUAAAAGUCUUAUAACUUUUUAUUUUUGCCCUCACUGGCCUCCAAGUUUUCUAGGAUGAUGCAAUGUCCAGCCAUCAACACAUUUGUGAAGGAAUUUUUACUCCCCAAAAGAGCGCCCCCCCAUGGCAGGAGAAAAAAGUCCAUUUUUUCUUGUCCCCUAAGGUGAAAAUACACAUUGUUGAGUGUAACACCUGUAGGCUUUGGCAAAAUGACACCAAAAUUGACACACACAUGUAUCUCGAUAAGAUCUACAAAAAAGUCAAUGCGCACGUAUCUGUCAAAUGUACGGUUAAAGGGUUAUUCCGCAUUUUUUGCCGAUCCGCACACAUUGGAAUUUCGCUAACUCCUCCGAAGGCUUUCGUUCCACCGGCACCACAUUUUCUCAGGCCAAUCUACACCCCAUGGCCAUUAAAAGUUAUUCAAAUCAUGAUGCUGCACCCCACGGUUUAGGUUCUAGGGGGCGCCAAAGAUAACCGUAAAAUCCACAUAUUUAAAAGUCUUAUAACUUUUUAUUUUUGUCCCCACUGGCCUCCAAGUUUUCUAGGAUGAUGCAAUGUCCAGCCAUCAACACAUUUGUGAAGGAAUUUUUACUCGCCAAAAGAGCGCCCCCCAUGGCAGGAGAAAAAAGUCCAUUUUUUCUUGUCCACUAAGGUGAAAAUACACAUUGUUGAGUGCUACGCCUGUAUGUUUUGUCGUAUUGACACAAAAUUUUACAUACACGUGUCUUUCAAUAAGAUCUUCGAAAAAGUCAAUGGCCACGUAUCUGUAAAAUGUACGGUUAAAGGGUUAUUUCGCAUUUUUUGCAGAUUCGCACACAUUGGAAUUUAGCUAACUCCUCCGAAGGCUUUCUUUCCACCGGCACCACAUUUGCUCAGGCCAAUCUACACCCCAUGGCCAUUAAAAGUUAUUCAAAUCAUGACGCUGCACCCCACGGUUUAGGUUCUAGGGGGCGCCAAAGAUAACCCUAAAAUCCACAUAUUUAAAAGUCUUAUAACUUUUUAUUUUUGUCCUCACUGGCCUCCAUGUUUUCUAGGAUGAUGCAAUGUCCAGCCAUCAACACAUUUGUGAAGGAGUUUUUUCUCGUUAAAAGAGCGCCCCCCAUGGCAGGAGAAUAAAGUCAAGUUUUUCCUGUUCAUCAUUCAAUGGCUCAAACGCACUGCUCUCUCGGCAAAAGCGAAAGGAGGAGCAACUUGCCAUUUGGAUAUAUCUUAGCUGUGUUUGUGCCCUCACUCAUGGUCCAGACUUUUUUCAAAUAGGACAUGGAGUUUUUCUGCAGCGAGCGUUUUGGUAGAAACUGCGCCUCCCGUUCAUUAUAAUGGUAAAUGACCACAAACAAGUGCGCACACCAUCUUUGGACCUUGAGUGUGACGCGCUCGGGUGGGGGAGGUGGUCGCGCUGGGGGCGGCGUGACACGGCUCGGGCCCGCCAGUGCCCCAACGGGGCCCUAGUUAGGGCCCGAGCGUAGCUGCUAAGCAGCUGCGAGAGCCCUCUUGUUCCUGCAUGUUUCCUUCUUUUGUUAUUAUUAUUAUUUUUCCUCCCCUUUGAACUGGAAAAUGGCCCACUUCCCACUGGCGAAAACUCAUGAAAUUUGGCAGGACGACCGGGCCUGGUGAAAAAUUUGAUAUUCCGAAGUCGGCCAAACAAUAAAAUGCAAAAUGGCUCCAUAGCGCCCCCUAAGGUGAAAAUUCACACUAUUGACUGUCACGCGUGUACGCUUUGUCAAAAUGACACAAAAAUUGACACACACAUGUAUCUCAAUAAGAUCUACAAAAAAGUCAGUGCGGGCGUAUCUGUCAAAUGUACGGUUAAAGGGUUAUUUCGCAUUUUUUGCCGAUCCGCACACAUUGGAAUUUCGCUAACUCCUCCGAAGGCUUUCGUUCCACCGGCACCACAUUUGCUCAGGCCAAUCUACACCCCAUGGCCAUUAAAAGUUAUUCAAAUCAUGACGCUGCACCCCACGGUUUAGGUUCUAGGGGGCGCCAAAGAUAACCCUAAGAUCCACAUAUUUAAAAGUCUUAUAACUUUUUAUUUUUGCCCUCACUGGCCUCCAAGUUUUCUAGGAUGAUGCAAUGUCCAGCCAUCAACACAUUUGUGAAGGAAUUUUUACUCCCCAAAAGAGCGCCCCCUCAUGGCAGGAGAAAAAAGUCCAUUUUUUCUUGUCCCCUAAGGUGAAAAUACACAUUGUUGAGUGUCACGCCUGUACGCUUUGUCAUAUUGACACAAAAUUUGACACACACAUGUAUCUCAAUAAGAUCUACGAAAAAGUCAAUGCGCGCGUAUCUGUCAAAUGUACGGUUAAAGGGUUAUUCCGCAUUUUUUGCCGAUCCGCACACAUUGGAAUUUCGCUAACUCCUCCUAAGGCUGGCGUUCCACCGGCACCACAUUUGCUCAGGCCAAUCUACACCCCAUGGCCAUUAAAAGUUAUUCAAAUCAUGACGCUGCACCCCACGGUUUAGGUUCUAGGGGGCGCCAAAGAUAACCCUAAAAUCCACAUAUUUCAAAGUCUUAUAACUUUUUAUUUUUGUCCUCACUGGCCUCCAAGUUUUCUAGGAUGAUGCAAUGUCCAGCCAUCAACACAUUUGUGAAGGAAUUUUUACUCCCCAAAAGAGCGCCCCCCCAUGGCAGGAGAAAAAAGUCAAUUUUUUCCCGUCCCCUAAGGUGAAAAUACACAUUGUUGAGUGUCACGCCUGUACGCUUUGUCAUAGUGACACAAAAUUUGACAAUCACGUGUAUCUCAAUAAGAUCUACGAAAAAGUCAAUGGGUGCGUAUCUGUUAAAUGUAUGGUUAGAGGGCUAUUUUGCAUUUUUUGCCGAUUCGCACACAUUGGAAUGUGGCUAACUCCUCCUAAGGCUUUCGUCCCACUGAAACCAAAUUUGCUCAGGCCAAUCUACACCCCAUGGCCAUUCAAAGUUGUAAAAAUCAUGACGCUGCACCCCACGGUUUACGUUCUAGGGGGCGCCAAAGAUGACCAAAAAAUCCACAUUCUUAAAAGAAUCCACAUCCCCCCCCCCCCAAGGCAGGAGAAAAAGUCCAGUUAACCCUGCCCAUCGCUCAAUGGCUCAAUCGCAUUGCUCUCCCGGCAACACCGUAAGGAGGAGCAACUUGCCAUUUGGAUAUUUCCUAGCUGUGUUUGUGCCCUCACUCAUGGUCCAGACUUUUUUCAAAUAGGACAUGUAGUUUGUCUGCAGCGACCGUUUUGGUAGAAACUGCGCCUCCCAUUCAUUAUAAUGGGAAAUGACCACAGACAAGUGCGCACACCAUCUUUGGACCUUGAGUGUGAUGCGAUCGGGAGGGGGAGGCGGUCGCGCUGGGGGCGGCGCGACGCGGCUCGGGCCCGACAGUGCCCCACCGGGGCCCUAGUUAGGGCCCGAGCGUAGCUGCUAAGCAGCUGCGAGAGCCCUCUUGUUCCUGUAGUUUCCUUCUUUUGUUAUUAUUAUUAUUUUUCCUCCCCUUUGAACUGGAAAAUGGCCCACUUCCCACUGGCGAAAACUCAUGAAAUUUGGCAGGACGACCGGGCCUGGUGAAAAAUUUGAUAUUCCGAAGUCGCCCAAACAAGAAAAUGCAAAAUGGCUCCAUAGCGCCCCCUAAGGUGAAAAUUCACACUAUUCACUGUCACGCCUGUACGCUUUGUCAAAAUGACACAAAAAUUGACACACACAUGUAUCUCAAUAAGAUCUACAAAAAAGUCAGUGCGGGCGUAUCUGUCAAAUGUACGGUUAAAGGGUUAUUUCGCAUUUUUUGCCGAUCCGCACACAUUGGAAUUUCGCUAACUCCUCCGAAGGCUUUCGUUCCACCGGCACCACAUUUGCUCAGGCCAAUCUACACCCCAUGGCCAUUAAAAGUUAUUCAAAUCAUGACGCUGCACCCCACGGUUUAGGUUCUAGGGGGCGCCAAAGAUAACCCUAAGAUCCACAUAUUUAAAAGUCUUAUAACUUUUUAUUUUUGCCCUCACUGGCCUCCAAGUUUUCUAGGAUGAUGCAAUGUCCAGCCAUCAACACAUUUGUGAAGGAAUUUUUACUCCCCAAAAGAGCGCCCCCCCAUGGCAGGAGAAAAAAGUCCAUUUUUUCUUGUCCCCUAAGGUGAAAAUACACAUUGUUGAGUGUAACACCUGUACGCUUUGGCAAAAUGACACAAAAAUUGACACACACAUGUAUCUCAAUAAGAUCUACGAAAAAGUCAAUGCGCGCGUAUCUGUUAAAUGUACGGUUAAAGGGUUAUUCCGCAUUUUUUGCCGAUCCGCACACAUUGGAAUUUCGCUAACUCCUCCGAAGGCUUUCGUUCCACCGGCACCACAUUUGCUCAGGCCAAUCUACACCCCAUGGCCAUUAAAAGUUAUUCAAAUCAUGACGCUGCACCCCACAGUUUAGGUUCUAGGGGGCGCCAAAGAUAACCGUAAAAUCCACAUAUUUCAAAGUCUUAUAACUUUUUAUUUUUGUGCCCACUGGCCUCCAAGUUUUCUAGGAUGAUGCAAUGUCCAGCCAUCAACACAUUUGUGAAGGAAUUUUUACUCGCCAAAAGAGCGCCCCCCCAUGGCAGGAGAAAAAAGUCCAUUUUUUCUUGUCCACUAAGGUGAAAAUACACAUUGUUGAGUGCUACGCCUGUAUGUUUUGUCGUAUUGACACAAAAUUUUACAUACACGUGUAUUUCAAUAAGAUCUUCGAAAAAGUCAAUGGCCACGUAUCUGUAAAAUGUACGGUUAAAGGGUUAUUUCGCAUUUUUUGCAGAUUCGCACACAUUGGAAUUUCGCUAACUCCUCCGAAGGCUUUCGUUCCACCGGCACCACAUUUGCUCAGGCCAAUCUACACCCCAUGGCCAUUAAAAGUUAUUCAAAUCAUGACGCUGCACCCCACGGUUUAGGUUCUAGGGGGCGCCAAAGAUAACCCUAAAAUCCACAUAUUUAAAAGUCUUAUAACUUUUUAUUUUUGUCCUCACUGGCCUCCAUGUUUUCUAGGAUGAUGCAAUGUCCAGCCAUCAACACAUUUGUGAAGGAGUUUUUUCUCGUUAAAAGAGCGCCCCCCAUGGCAGGAGAAUAAAGUCAAGUUUUUCCUGUUCAUCAUUCAAUGGCUCAAACGCACUGCUCUCUCGGCAAAAGCGAAAGGAGGAGCAACUUGCCAUUUGGAUAUAUCUUAGCUGUGUUUGUGCCCUCACUCAUGGUCCAGACUUUUUUCAAAUAGGACAUGGAGUUUUUCUGCAGCGAGCGCUUUGGUAGAAACUGCGCCUCCCGUUCAUUAUAAUGGUAAUUGACCACAAACAAGUGCGCACACCAUCUUUGGACCUUGAGUGUGACGCGAUCGGGUGGGGGAGGCGGUCGCGCUGGGGGCGGCGUGACACGGCUCGGGCCCGCCAGUGCCCCAACGGGGCCCUAGUUCUUUCUUUCUUUCUUCUUUUUCCUCCCCUUUGAACUGGAAAAUGGCCCACUUCCCACUGGCGAAAACUCAGGAAAUUUGGCAGGACGACCGGGCCUGGUGAAAAAUUCGUUAUUCUGAAGUCGCCCAAACAAUAAAAUGCAAAAUGGCUCCAUAGCGCCCCCUAAGGUGGAAAUUCACACUAUUGACUGUCACGCCUGUACGCUUUGUCAUAUUGACACAAAAAUUGACACACAUAUGUAUCUCAAUAAGAUCUACAAAAAAGUCAGUGCGGGCGUAUCUGUCAAAUGUACGGUUAAAGGGUUAUUUCGCAUUUUUUGCCGAUCCGCACACAUUGGAAUUUCGCUAACUCCUCCGAAGGCUUUCGUUCCACCGGCACCACAUUUGCUCAGGCCAAUCUACACCCCAUGGCCAUUAAAAGUUAUUCAAAUCAUGACGCUGCACCCCACGGUUUAGGUUCUAGGGGGCGCCAAAGAUAACCCUAAAAUCCACAUUUUUAAAAGUCUUAUAACUUUUUAUUUUUGUCCUCACUGGCCUCCAAGUUUUCUAGGAUGAUGCAAUGUCCAGCCAUCAACACAUUUGUGAAGGAAUUUUUACUCCCCAAAAGAGCGCCCCCCCAUGGCAGGAGAAAAAAGUCCAUUUUUUCUUGUCCCCUAAGGUGAAAAUACACAUUGUUGAGUGUCACGCCUAUACGCUUUGUCAAAAUGACACAAAAAUUGACACACACAUGUAUCUCAAUAAGAUCUACAAAAAAGUCCAUGCGCGCGUAUCUGUCUAAUGUACGGUUAAAGGGUUAUUCCGCAUUUUUUGCCGAUUCGCACACAUUGGAAUUUCGCUAACUCCUCCGAAGGCUUUCGUUCCACCGGCACCACAUUUGCUCAGGCCAAAUUACACCCCAUGGCCAUUAAAAGUUAUUCAAAUCAUGACGCUGCACCCCACGGUUUACGUUCUAGGGGGCGCCAAAGAUAACCCAAAAAUCCACAUUUUUAAAAGUCUUAUAACUUUUUAUUUUUGUCCUCACUGGCCUCCAAGUUUUCUAGGAUGAUGCAAUGUCCAGCCAUCAACACAUUUGUGAAGGAAUUUUUACUCCCCAAAAGAGCGCCCCCCAUGGCAGGAGAAAAAAGUCCAUUUUUUCUUGUCCCCUAAGGUGAAAAUACACAUUGUUGACUGUCACGCCUGUACGCUUUGGCAAAAUGACACAAAAAUUGACAAUCAUGUGUAUCUCAAUUAGAUCUACGAAAAAGUCAAAGAGCGCGUAUCUGUAUAAUGUACGGUAAAAGGGCUAUUUUGCAUUUUUUGCCGAUUCGCACACAUUGGAAUUUUGCUAACUCCUCCUAAGGCUUUCGUCCCACUGACACCAAAUUUGCUCAGGCCAAUCUACACUCCAUGGCCAUUCAAAGUUGUAAAAAUCAUGACGCUGCACCCCACGAUUUACGUUUUAGGGGGCGCCAAAGAUGACCCAAAUAUACAUUACAGUAGACAAAGUAGUUUUGCCCACUGAGUGGCGCCAAAGGGACUUGUCUGUGGAGUCUGUGAGUCACUAUUGGCCGUUUUUGACUACUUUAGAUUUUACCUUUAUAUUUCCUCUCACAAAAUUUUUACCUUGCCUUGCCUGGUAUCAUUUUUUUCAGCACAACCUCACCUGUGUCAAUUUACAGUUAUUUUAUCAUUUUGACAUACUAUAUUUACACAUUGGACCCAAAUUCACACACAAAACAUAAAAUCCGAGUGGAAAAAAGUAACGUUUUUACUGUGAAAACCACAAAUAUGUGUGAUGAACUGUUUUUAAACUUAAACUUCAAAUAAAAAUUGUAAACUUCAAAACAUAUGCAAAUUUUUAACAAAGAACAUAGUAAUUUACCUCUAUUGACAUCAAAAUGCAGGCAAUGGCCCAGGUGUUCUUUGUAAAAUUAUUUACAAAACACUGUAUAGUCUCACAAAUGUCACUUUUUAUUUAUGCCACUACAAAAAAACAUGAUGUAAAUGAUGCAUGAUGUAAAACAUGAUGUAAAAAACUUGUGUAGAUCCUCCUCUAUGUUAGUCCAUGUGUAAUUUUUCCAUAAUUCUUUGUUUUUUGCAGCAUUUUUGUUAGUGUAACUGCAGAUUGUGCUGACAGUGUCUAUGGCAAAAAAAAAAAAAAAACUGAAAAUGCCUCAACAUGAACCCCUGGUGGUCUCUGAGGGUGAAACCUGCUAACUGCUGCAGCUCUGUCAGCUUCAGUCUCCCAUGCAGAGCUCGGAGCGCAUGUGUGGCUCUGCACCCUUAGCAGCGUUGCUAACUCCUCAGUAAGGAAAGCCUGCUUCAUGUCAGAGUCUCUAAACUCCAGAAGAAGUCGAUAAAAGUCACUUUCUUUCUAAAAAAAAGUCGUUAGGGGGUCUGAAAAGUCAUUGAAUCUAACAACAAAGUCGCUAGGUUUGCAACUACGUGUCCCAGACUGCAUCCCUGCUGAGAGUCCCUCCCUCCCUUCUCAUAUUGCAGGAAGAACGCAAGUUCCCGCCCCUUGUCAAUCAGUCACCAUAUAAUUUUGGAUUGGUUGUUGUGGUGAAGUUUUCCACCAAUAGGAGAGAUGUUGUGGUGUGUUUUUUUUUUUCCUUUGGCAAGCCUUUUCCGCCUGUAAGACCUGUCGCUAAUGUCUGCAUGCUAUGUUUUCCUGUCUCAUACAGCGCGAUCGAGCGCCGAACGUGAUCAAAAUAAGCAGAAAACAAGAAUCGUGGACAUAAUUUAUCAUAACUCUGGUUUUAUUUGGCCUAUCAACACAAUUUAAAAACUGGUAUAUAGGUUGAGGUCCUCACUUUUGAGAUAAAUUGAAACGGAGAGUCAACGAGGCUCCGUCUUGCAGCUACAUCCAGUUAAAUAUGUCAUGUGACUUGAACGCACACACACACACACACACACACACACACACACACACACACACACACACACAGACACACACACACACGCACACACACACACUCAGAGUCUGGUUUUUAGCACCUGCAAAAACAUGCUAUUUACAUAUCUGACAAGAAUGCAGAGGCUCCUUUUGCCCCUGAAAAAAAUCAGAUUUCAAACACAACUUGACUGGUCAUUUCUCCAAAAGACAACCAUGAAGCUCCAUCCAAACCUGAAGCAGGCAGUUGGUGCAUGUGUACAGUAACCUGAGGGGAGUGAGGUGACUGCUUCUGAGGAGAACAUGAGCAGUGAAGAUUCACCUUAGAGCUAGAACAGAGACGUGCACAUGAUUAUACAGGGGCAGGGGCUCAAGUUUUUUCCAGUUGUUUAUAUAAUAUGGAAAUUAAUGUGAAAUUAAAAAACAAAGUAUUAAUAGAAAGGUAAUGACUGUCCUGUGUAGGUGACAGUGAUAUCCAAUAGGCUAGGCACUCACGAGGCUGGCUGUGGCAAGUGUAAGUGAAAGCAACAUGCACUGGCAGGAAGAACAGCAAACGCCGAUGAAGGAAAAGGGUCUUUGCAGUGAUGGGCGUUACCAGAGAGGGCGAUGGCCAGAGGACACAAAUGGGACGGGGAGGCAGCGCGUUGGGGGGGGGACGCGACACAGCUCGGGCCCGACAGUGCCCCAACGGGGUCCUAGUCUUUGUUUCUUUUUUCUUUUUCCUCCCCUUUGAACUGGAAAAUGGCCCACUUCCCACUGGCGAAAACUCAUGAAAUUUGGCAGGACGACCGGGCCUGGUGAAAAAUUUGAUAUUCUGAAGUCGCCCAAACAAUACAAUGCAAAAUGGCUCCAUAGCGCCCCCUAAGGUGAAAAAUUCACCUGACGCCUGUACGCUUUGUCAAAAUGACACAAAAAUUGACACACACAUGUAUCUCAAUAAGAUCUACAAAAAAGUCAGUGCGGGCGUAUCUGUCAAAUGUACGGUUAAAGGGUUAUUGCGCAUUUUUUGCCGAUCCGCACACAUUGGAAUUUCGCUAACUCCUCCGAAGGCUUUCGUUCCACCGGCACCACAUUUGCUCAGGCCAAUCUACACCCCAUGGCCAUUAAAAGUUAUUCAAAUCAUGACGCUGCACCCCACGGUUUAGGUUCUAGGGGGCGCCAAAGAUAACCCUAAAAUCCACAUAUUUCAAAGUCUUAUAACUUUUUAUUUUUGCCCUCACUGGCCUCCAAGUUUUCUAGGAUGAUGCAAUGUCCAGCCAUCAACACAUUUGUGAAGGAAUUUUUACUCCCCAAAAGAGCGCCCCCCCAUGGCAGGAGAAAAAAGUCCAUUUUUUCUUGUCCCAUAAGGUGAAAAUUCACACUAUUGACUGUCACGCCUGUACGCUUUGUCAAAAUUACACAAAAAUUGACACACACAUGUAUCUCAAUAAGAUCUACAAAAAAGUCAGUGCGGGCGUAUCUGUCAAAUGUACGGUUAAAGGGUUAUUGCGCAUUUUUUGCCGAUCCGCACACAUUGGAAUUUCGCUAACUCCUCCGAAGGCUUUCGUUCCACCGGCACCACAUUUGCUCAGGCCAAUCUACACCCCAUGGCCAUUAAAAGUUAUUCAAAUCAUGACGCUGCACCCCACGGUUUAGGUUCUAGGGGGCGCCAAAGAUAACCCUAAAAUCCACAUAUUUAAAAGUCUUAUAACUUUUUAUUUUUGUCCUCUCUGGCCUCCAAGUUUUCUAGGAUGAUGCAAUGUCCAGCCAUCAACACAUUUGUGAAGGAAUUUUUACUCCCUAAAAGAGCGCCCCCCCAUGGCAGGAGAAAAAAGUCCAUUUUUUCUUGUCCCAUAAGGUGAAAAUACACAUUUUUGACUGUCAAACCUGUAUGCUUUGUCAUAUUGACACAAAAUUUGACACACACAUGUAUCUCAAUAAGAUCUACGAAAAAGUCAAUGCGCGCGUAUCUGUAAAAUGUACGGUUAAAGGGCUAUUUUGCAUUUUUUGCCGAUUAGCACACAUUGGAAUGUGGCUAACUCCUCCUAAGGCUUUCGUCCCACUGACACCAAAUUUGCUCAGGCCAAUCUACACCCCAUGGCCAUUCAAAGUUUUUAAAAAUCAUGACGCUGCACCCCACGGUUUACGUUCUAGGGGGCGCCAAAGAUGACCCAAAUAUCCACAUUCUUAAAAGAAUCCACAUUCCCCCCCCCCCCCAUCCCCCAUCCCCCAUCCCCCAUGGCAGGAGAAACAGUCAAGUUUUUCCUGCCCAUCACUCAAUGGCUCAAUCGCAUCGCUCUCCCGGCAACACCGUAACGAGGAGCAACUUGCCGUUUGGAUAUAUCCUAGCUGUGUUUGUGCCCUCACUCAUGGUCCAGACUUUUUUCAAAUAGGACAUGUAGUUUGUCUGCAGCGAGUGCUUUGGUAGAAACUGCGCCUCCCAUUCAUUAUAAUGGGAAAUGACCACAGACAAGUGCGCACACCAUCUUUGGACCUUGAGUGUGACGCGAUCGGGAGGGGGAGGCGGUCGCACUGGGGGCGGCGCAACGCGGCUCGGGCCCGCCAGUGCCCCAACGGGGCCCUAGUUAGGGCCCGAGCCAGCUGCAGAGCAGCCGGGCGUAGGCCCUAUUAUUCCCCAAGUGGUUUUUCUUUGUUUCUUUCUUUCUUUCUUUCUUUCUUUCUUUCUUCUUUUUCCUCCCCUUUGAACUGGAAAAUGGCCCACUUCCCACUGCCGAAAACUCAUGAAAUUUGGCAGGACGACCGGGCCUGGUGAAAAAUUCGAUAUUCUGAAGUCGCCCAAACAAUAAAAUGCAAAAUGGCUCCAUAGCGCCCCCUAAGGUGGAAAUUCACACUAUUGACUGUCACGCCUGUACGCUUUGUCAUAUUGACACAAAAAUUGACACACAUAUGUAUCUCAAUAAGAUCUACAAAAAAGUCAGUGCGGCCGUAUCUGUCAAAUGUACGGUUAAAGGGUUAUUUCGCAUUUUUUGCCGAUCCGCACACAUUGGAAUUUCGCUAACUCCUCCGAAGGCUUUCGUUCCACCGGCACCACAUUUGCUCAGGCCAAUCUACACCCCAUGGCCAUUAAAAGUUAUUCAAAUCAUGACGCUGCACCCCACGGUUUAGGUUCUAGGGGGCGCCAAAGAUAACCCUAAAAUCCACAUAUUUAAAAGUCUUAUAACUUUUUAUUUUUGCCCUCACUGGCCUCCAAGUUUUCUAGGAUGAUGCAAUGUCCAGCCAUCAACACAUUUGUGAAGGAAUUUUUACUCCCCAAAAGAGCGCCCCCCCAUGGCAGGAGAAAAAAGUCCAUUUUUUCUUGUCCCCUAAGGUGAAAAUUCACACUAUUGACUGUCACGCCUGUACGCUUUGUCAAAAUGACACAAAAAUUGACACACACAUGUAUCUCAAUAAGAUCUACAAAAAAGUCCAUGCGCGCGUAUCUGUCUAAUGUACGGUUAAAGGGUUAUUUCGCAUUUUUUGCCGAUCCGCACACAUUGGAAUUUCGCUAACUCCUCCGAAGGCUUUCGUUCCACCGGCACCACAUUUGCUCAGGCCAAUCUACACCCCAUGGCCAUUAAAAGUUAUUCAAAUCAUGACGCUGCACCCCACGGUUUACGUUCUAGGGGGCGCCAAAGAUAACCCAAAAAUCCACAUUUUUAAAAGUCUUAUAACUUUUUAUUUUUGUCCUCACUGGCCUCCAAGUUUUCUAGGAUGAUGCAAUGUCCAGCCAUCAACACAUUUGUGAAGGAAUUUUUACUCCCCAAAAGAGCGCCCCCCAUGGCAGGAGAAAAAAGUCAAUUUUUUCUUGUCCCCUAAGGUGAAAAUACACAUUGUUGACUGUCACGCCUGUACGCUUUGGCAAAAUGACACAAAAAUUGACAAUCAUGUGUAUCUCAAUUAGAUCUACGAAAAAGUCAAAGAGCGCGUAUCUGUAUAAUGUACGGUAAAAGGGCUAUUUUGCAUUUUUUGCCGAUUCGCACACAUUGGAAUUUCGCUAACUCCUCCUAAGGCUUUCGUCCCACUGACACCAAAUUUGCUCAGGCCAAUCUACACUCCAUGGCCAUUCAAAGUUGUAAAAAUCAUGACGCUGCACCCCACGGUUUACGUUUUAGGGGGCGCCAAAGAUGACCCAAAUAUACAUUACAGUAGACAAAGUAGUUUUGCCCACUGAGUGGCGCCAAAGGGACUUGUCUGUGGAGUCUGUGAGUCACUAUUGGCCGUUUUUGACUACUUUAGAUUUUACCUUUAUAUUUCCUCUUACAAAAUUUUUACCUUGCCUUGCCUGGUAUCAUUUUUUUCAGCACAACCUCACCUGUGUCAAUUUACAGUUAUUUUAUCAUUUUGACAUACUAUAUUUACACAUUGGACCCAAAUUCACACACAAAACAUAAAAUCCGAGUGGAAAAAAGUAAUGUUUUUACUGUGAAAACCACAAAUAUGUGUGAUGAACUGUUUUUAAAACUUAAACUUCAAAUAAAAAUUGUAAACUUCAAAACAUAUGCAAAUUUUUAACAAAGAACAUAGUAAUUUACCUCUAUUGACAUCAAAAUGCAGGCAAUGGCCCAGGUGUUCUUUGUAAAAUUAUUUACAAAACACUGUAUAGUCUCACAAAUGUCACUUUUUAUUUAUGCCACUACAAAAAAACAUGAUGUAAAUGAUGCAUGAUGUAAAACAUGAUGUAAAAAACUUGUGUAGAUCCUCCUCUAUGUUAGUCCAUGUGUAAUUUUUCCAUAAUUCUUUGUUUUUUGCAGCAUUUUUGUUAGUGUAACUGCAGAUUGUGCUGACAGUGUCUAUGGCAAAAAAAAAAAAAACAAACUGAAAAUGCCUCAACAUGAACCCCUGGUGGUCUCUGAGGGUGAAACCUGCUAACUGCUGCAGCUCUGUCAGCUUCAGUCUCCCAUGCAGAGCUCGGAGCGCAUGUGUGGCUCUGCACCCUUAGCAGCGUUGCUAACUCCUCAGUAAGGAAAGCCUGCUUCAUGUCAGAGUCUCUAAACUCCAGAAGAAGUCGAUAAAAGUCCCUUUCUUUCUAAAAAAAAGUCGUUAGGGGGUCUGAAAAGUCAUUGAAUCUAACAACAAAGUCGCUAGGUUUGCAACUACGUGUCCCAGACUGCAUCCCUGCUGAGAGUCCCUCCCUCCCUUCUCAUAUUGCAGGAAGAACGUAAGUUCUCGCCCCUUGUCAAUCAGUCACCAUAUAAUUUUGGAUUGGUUGUUGUGGUGAAGUUUUCCACCAAUAGGAGAGAUGUUGUGGUGUGUAUUUUUUUUCCUUUGGCAAGCCUUUUCCGCCUGUAAGACCUGUCGCUAAUGUCUGCAUGCUAUGUUUUCCUGUCUCAUACAGCGCGAUCGAGCGCCGAACGUGAUCAAAAUAAGCAGAAAACAAGUAUCGCGGACAUAAUUUAUCAUAACUCUGGUUUUAUUUGGCCUAUCAACACAAUUUAAAAACUGGUAUAUAGGUUGAGGUCCUCACUUUUGAGAUAAAUUGAAACGGAGAGUCAACGAGGCUCCGUCUUGCAGCUACAUCCGGUUAAAUAUGUCAUGUGACUUGAACGCACACACACACACACACACACAGACACACACACACACACGCACACACACACACUCAGAGUCUGGUUUGUAGCACCUGCAAAAACAUGCUAUUUACAUAUUUGACAAGAAUGCAGAGGCUCCUUUUGCCCCUGAAAAAAAUCAAAUUUCAAACACAACUUGACUGGUCAUUUCUCCAAAAGACAACCAUGAAGCUCCAUCCAAACCUGAAGCAGGCAGUUGGUGCAUGUGUACAGUAACCUGAGGGGAGUGAGGUGACUGCUUCUGAGGAGAACAUGAGCAGUGAAGAUUUACCUUAGAGCUAGAACAGAGACGUGCACAUGAUUAUACAGGGGCAGGGGCUCAAGUUUUUUCCAGUCGUUUAUACAAUUUGGAAAUUAAUGUGAAAUUAAAAAACAAAGUAUUAAUAGAAAGGUAAUGACUGUCCUGUGUAGGUGACAGUGAUAUCCAAUAGGCUAGGCACUCACGAGGCUGGCUGUGGCAAGUGUAAGUGAAAGCAACACGCACUGGCAGGAAGAACAGCAAACGCCGAUGAAGGAAAAGGGUCUUUGCAGUGAUGGGCGUUACCAAAGAGGGCGAUGGCCAGAGGACACAAAUGGGACGGGGAGGCAGCGCGUUGGGGGGGGGACGCGACACAGCUCGGGCCCGCCAGUGCCCCAACGGGGUCCUAGUUAUUAUUAUUUUUCCUCCCCUUUGAACUGGAAAAUGGCCCACUUCCCACUGGCGAAAACUCAUGAAAUUUGGCAGGACGACCGGGCCUGGUGAAAAAUUUGAUAUUCCGAAGUCGCCCAAACAAGAAAAUGCAAAAUGGCUCCAUAGCGCCCCCUAAGGUGAAAAUUCACACUAUUCACUGUCACGCCGGUACGCUUUGUCAAAAUGACACAAAAAUUGACACACACAUGUAUCUCAAUAAGAUCUACAAAAAAGUCAGUGCGGGCGUAUCUGUCAAAUGUACGGUUAAAGGGUUAUUUCGCAUUUUUUGCCGAUCCGCACACAUUGGAAUUUCGCUAACUCCUCCGAAGGCUUUCGUUCCACCGGCACCACAUUUGCUCAGGCCAAUCUACACCCCAUGGCCAUUAAAAGUUAUUCAAAUCAUGACGCUGCACCCCACGGUUUAGGUUCUAGGGGGCGCCAAAGAUAACCCUAAGAUCCACAUAUUUAAAAGUCUUAUAACUUUUUAUUUUUGCCCUCACUGGCCUCCAAGUUUUCUAGGAUGAUGCAAUGUCCAGCCAUCAACACAUUUGUGAAGGAAUUUUUACUCCCCAAAAGAGCGCCCCCCCAUGGCAGGAGAAAAAAGUCCAUUUUUUCUUGUCCCCUAAGGUGAAAAUACACAUUGUUGAGUGUAACACCUGUACGCUUUGGCAAAAUGACACAAAAAUUGACACACACAUGUAUCUCAAUAAGAUCUUCGAAAAAGUCAAUGGCCACGUAUCUGUAAAAUGUACGGUUAAAGGGUUAUUUCGCAUUUUUUGCAGAUUCGCACACAUUGGAAUUUGGCUAACUCCUCCUAAGGCUUUCGUCCCACUGACACCAAAUUUGCUCAGGCCAAUCUACACCCCAUGGCCAUUCAAAGUUGUAAAAAUCAUGACGCUGCACCCCACGGUUUACGUUCUAGGGGGCGCCAAAGAUGACCCAAAAAUCCACAUUCUUAAAAGAAUCCACAUCCCCCCCUAUGGCAGGAGAAAAAGUCAAGUUUUUCCUGCCCAUCGCUCAAUGGCUCAAUCGCAUCGCUCUCCAGGCAACACCGUAAGGAGGAGCAACCUGGCAUUUCGAUAUAUCAUAGCUGUGUUUGUGCCCUCACUCAUGGUCCAGACUUUUUUCAAAUAGGACAUGAAGUUUGUCUGCAGCGAGUGUUUUGGUAGAAACUGCGCCUCCCAUUCAUUAUAAUGGGAAAUGACCACAGACAAGUGCGCACACCAUCUUUGGACCUUGAGUGUGACGCGAUCGGGAGGGGGAGGCGGUCGCACUGGGGGCGGCGCAACGCGGCUCGGGCCCGCCAGUGCCCCAACGGGGCCCUAGUUAGGGCCCGAGCCAGCUGCAGAGCAGCCGGGCGUAGGCCCUAUUAUUCCCCAAGUGGUUUUUCUUUGUUUCUUUCUUUCUUUCUUUAGGGCCCGAGCGUAGCUGCUAAGCAGCUGCGAGAGCCCUCUUGUUCCUGCAUGUUUCCUUCUUUUGUUAUUAUUAUUAUUUUUCCUCCCCUUUGAACUGGAAAAUGGCCCACUUCCCACUGGCGAAAACUCAUGAAAUUUGGCAGGACGACCGGGCCUGGUGAAAAAUUUGAUAUUCC